RNAcentral lists this unclassified non-coding RNA (520 nucleotides) under uncultured Entrophospora. Its description in RNAcentral is "SSU rRNA". It matches the Rfam family "Eukaryotic small subunit ribosomal RNA", at positions 569 to 1084 of the family's 1831-position model. Lineage: Eukaryota; Fungi; Glomeromycota; Glomeromycetes; Entrophosporales; Entrophosporaceae. The record is from RNAcentral.
AGCAGCCGCGGUAAUUCCAGCUCCAAUAGCGUAUAUUAAAGUUGUUGCGGUUAAAAAGCUCGUAGUUGAAUUUCGGGAUUGACACAUCGGUCGUGCCUUAAGGGGUAUGAACUGGUGUAGUCAAUUUCUCACCUUCUGGAGAACCGCGAUGCCCUUAAUUGGGUGUCGCGGGGAACCAGGACCUUUACUUUGAAAAAAUUAGAGUGUUUAAAGCAGGCAUUUUGCUUGAAUACAUUAGCAUGGAAUAAUAAAAUAGGACGGCAUGAUUCUAUUUUGUUGGUUUCUAGGAUCACCGUAAUGAUUAAUAGGGAUAGUUGGGGGCAUUAGUAUUCAAUUGUCAGAGGUGAAAUUCUUGGAUUUAUUGAAGACUAACUACUGCGAAAGCAUUUGCCAAGGAUGUUUUCAUUAAUCAAGAACGAAAGUUAGGGGAUCGAAGACGAUCAGAUACCGUCGUAGUCUUAACCAUAAACUAUGCCGACUAGGAAUCAGACGAUGUUAAUUUUUUAAUGACUCGUUUGGC